RNAcentral lists this unclassified non-coding RNA (402 nucleotides) under Hevea brasiliensis (rubber tree). The record is from RNAcentral. Lineage: Eukaryota; Viridiplantae; Streptophyta; Magnoliopsida; Malpighiales; Euphorbiaceae.
GGGACUUGAGAGACAGGAUCAGAGGUAAGGAUUCAUUCUCUGCUUCAUAAUGUUUGUUUCCUAUAAAGUGGUCUUCAGUAAGGUUAAAUAGCAAUACCAAAUAACAUAUAUGGGCGGAAAUUAAUUGAUAUACAAGUCACAUAGAUGUGCAUGAAGACCAAAGUUAUGAGCAGCCUUCAGCUGUUCAUAGCUGGUCUGUGACUGAAUUUUACACUAAUAGGCAGCUGAGUCUUCAUGAGGGCAAAAAGUACAGUGGUGCUAACCAUCUGCAGACACUUGGUUUAGAGGAUGAUGGGAUGGGAUGGUUAGUGAGCUUUAUGAUUUCUUACAUUUAACCUGAUCUUUCUGACAGCUUCAAUUUCUUUUUUUUUUUUCUGCAGCCAGCCGGUAUGCGAUACUGAU